Molecule: unclassified non-coding RNA, 21 nt
Filed under: Chlamydomonas reinhardtii
Lineage: Eukaryota; Viridiplantae; Chlorophyta; Chlorophyceae; Chlamydomonadales; Chlamydomonadaceae
Description: small RNA Cre_2437
Source: RNAcentral
UCAACCUGGGUGGGCUGCUGG